AUUGAACGCUGGCGGAAUGCUUUACACAUGCAAGUCGAGCGGCAGCGCGGGGCAACCUGGCGGCGAGCGGCGAACGGGUGAGUAAUGCAUCGGAACAUGUCCAUGUCGUGGGGGAUAGCCCGGCGAAAGCCGGAUUAAUACCGCAUAAGCCCGAGAGGGGAAAGUGGGGGACCGCAAGGCCUCACGCGAUUGGGUUGGCCGAUGUCCGAUUAGCUAGUUGGCGGGGUAAGAGCCCACCAAGGCGAUGAUCGGUAGCUGGUCUGAGAGGAUGAUCAGCCACACUGGGACUGGGACACGGCCCAGACUCCUACGGGAGGCAGCAGUGGGGAAUUUUGGACAAUGGGGGCAACCCUGAUCCAGCCAUUCCGCGUGAGUGAAGAAGGCCUUCGGGUUGUAAAGCUCUUUUGUCCGGAACGAAACGGUUACGGUGAAUACCCGUGACUCAUGACGGUACCGUAAGAAUAAGCACCGGCUAACUACGUGCCAGCAGCCGCCGUAA
Molecule: ribosomal RNA, 499 nt
Filed under: uncultured bacterium
Lineage: Bacteria
Description: partial 16S ribosomal RNA
Rfam family: Bacterial small subunit ribosomal RNA
Source: RNAcentral